This is an RNA transcript of Scylla paramamosain (green mud crab), 3243 nucleotides long. RefSeq lists it as uncharacterized. The record is from RefSeq and is a predicted model, not a curated record. The transcript has 8 exons. NCBI's taxonomy places the organism in Eukaryota, Metazoa, Arthropoda, Malacostraca, Decapoda, Portunidae.
AGGAGCAGUGACAGGAAUCGCUGGGUAGUGCCGGGGAGGGCAGGCGGCUGCAGUGUUUUGGCCGGUGCUGGUCAGUCUUGCCCCACACACUCUGAUAAUUAGUGUUUUCGUUGCAGUGUUUUGACCGGCGCUGGUCAGUCUUGCCCCACACACUAUGAUAAUCAGUGUUUUCGUAUUCCCGGCAGCUUCUCCCCGUACUAAGCACCGCCACACAGCACCAGAGAGCCACGAGUACGUAAGGAUGGAGAGUUUAGGAUACCACACGGAAGGGGGUGAAGAAGCCUUGGAGGGGCAGUGAUGGAGGGAGGCCUGGAGGUGAAGGAAAUGCAGAAAAUUCCUCUAAUACUGAGCGCUUCUCUGGUCAGACCAUCCUUCACUGAAUAUUUGGACCGAGGUUUCGAGAUACGAGGGUCCGCGCCUUCAGCCGAGUACACGCGGGAGGCGUUGUAAUAAUGGUGGGUGCUGUGUUUAGCAUGAAGAAGGUGAACGGGGUGUUGGGGAAGUUACCAAGGAGGUUACUGCCACUCCCACCCCUGCUACUACCUGCCCACGGGGACGCCCAGGCUGCUGCGCACAUACAACUGCUGGCAAAGAAGCCACUGACAAGCAUAUCCAUAGUCCACUAUCCAGCUCCAGUCUUCAGUCCCAGGGCAUAUAACGCAUCAGUCAUCUCCCCAGUAACUCAAGCCCAUCCUCAAGUGUUCGAUCUCUCCAGCUGCAUGCUCCACUCCAGAUCUUCCUUCACAGAGCAAACAUGCAAUAUCACGAAGGGUGCCGCAUGAAGCCUCGGAUCCACAUAUUGAAGUCUCGGUUAUGCUGAACCUUGCGUGGCUCCUAAGUGACGUAGCUGCCCUUACCCAUCUAUCCUGACCUCCGGGGCUUGCACCGCUUGUAAUUUGGUAUAUGCUUGGCACCACAGCAGGAAAUAUAUCAAGUCCCCAUUUCUCCACGGAAAGCCAGGAAGAGUGCAGGGCUGCCCAAUGAAAUUAGAAGUGCCUUUCAUUACAAUUUCUGCCACCUCCAAUCCAACACUUCCUCUGUUGCUUGCUCUGGCGAAGGGUUGUUGAGAAGAACACGGGCUGACAAUGGGAACAUGACCCUGAGGGUCUCGAAAGUAACUGAGGUGUUCAUCGCUGAAGGAUGAGAGAAUUCUGUUCAAGUAGCCCAACAUGAAGGUUUCUUUGGGCUUCGCUGAUUACAAUGUCAGGAGCAGGUUGGCUUCCCUGGAUCCUGAUUCAAGCAUGGAUGGGCCUUCAUGGACUAUCCAUUCCUCAGACUGAGUGCAAGUUUGGUCAUACUACCUCUUCACUGGAUUUUCCAGCAAACUGUAACACAGGAGAAAUACCCAGCAGAAUGAAAAAAAUCUGAAAUUGUAUCAAUAUUCAAGAAGUAGUCUCAUACUCCCCUAAACUAGACCAAUCUGUGUCACCUUUGUCUACUGCAAACCCCUAGAAAGACUAUAGCUGCAGCUGUAUAUGAUUUCCUUGGUUCCAACCAGCUUUUGUCCAAUGAUCAGUUUGGAUUUGAACAAGGAAGAACUGUUGAUUAUCAGUUACUUAUUGUGUAUAAUGAUAAAACCCUGUGGCUGGAUUCUGGUUAUGUUAUUGACUGUUAUUUGACUUCAACAAGGCCUUUGAUGACAUGAAUCAUGCUGUCUUCAUUGACAAACUGAGACUGUCAGAGUGGCUCCCUAGAUCUUGGACUGUAUCAACUAUGAAGGUAUCAAUGUUUGGUGUCCAUAGCUCCUCUACACCAGUAUGUAGUGGAGUUCUGUUCCACAGGGCUCCCUCACGGGUUCUCUGCUUACUUAUUUACAUCAGUCACUUGCCAACAUAUAUAACAACUAAAUGUAAAUUCUUUGCUGAUGACCUCAAGACAUACAUGAAGAUAUGCUAUUACUUAACAUCCCUAGUUUAGAAUGGAAGUUCCAUAUAUCUGGUGUGGUUUGUUACAUGCCCAAGAUACUGACCCUACUGACCCAGGACCCAGCACUAUUCAUUGUGUCUUCCUCACUUGCCUUCAAAUUAGUGUCAUUGACAGAGUGAAUGACUCCCCUUUCAGAUUAGUGUCAUUGACAGAGUGAAUGAAUCUCCUUUAAGUAUUAACUCCUCAUUCUCAUCCAUAUUAUUUCUGUAAAUUUUGGUAUUGUCUGCAAAGUUUUCCCUUUUCCAGCAAGUGAUUUAUACAGACCAGGAACAAUGUAGGAUCCAGUACACUCCUUUGUGGCACAACACUGCAUACCCUAAGCCACCUGUAUUGGGCUCCCUAAUGAAAAUUCUGUUACCUAUUGUGUGGAAAGUUUGCGAUCCACUGAAAGACAUUUCUCCUGUUGCCCACAGCCUCAAAUUCUCACCAAGAGUUUGUAUGGUAUGGAGUCGAAAGUCUUCUUACAGUUCAGAUAUACAACAUCGACAAUAUUGACACUUGCCUCCCUCACACAAAGUAUCCUCUAGAUCUUCCAAAUAUUCAAGUAAUUGUGAAAUGCAUGACUUGUUCCCUGAUCUGAACCCCAUGCUGGCUUUCACUUAAAAUAUUAUUCUUUUACAAGCGCUCUGCCAGAUGUUGCUGUAUUAAUCUUUAUAAUCUUACACACAACAGGCGUUAUGCUAACUGGUCAGUGAUUUAGGGCAUUAGAUUCUAUUCUUACUUUGGUCCAAUAUUCAUGUAUUAUUCCAUGUGUGAGUGUUGCUUAUAGCUGAAAAUUCAAUAGAUGGGGCAGAGUCGACGUGCAUUCUUUCGAAACUGGGAUAAGCUCAACCCAUGUACUCUGAGGUUGUGCCUGGCCACUACAGAGUUUAAUAUGCAGAGUUUAACAUGCCCUCCACAGUUUGUUGAAGAAAGGGAAAGAUUUAAUGCGAAAUGGAGAUGAGCAAUGGUUCUGCAUUUCUAACCAUUACAGCUUCGGGUGGCUAGCUUGGCGAAUUAACGGCUGCCAUUGUUUAUUUAGAAUGGCGAAUGUGGAGGCACAGUGUAGAACAAGGAAACUGAAUUUGAGCCUCCUCGGUGUGGAGAAUACCACAUAAUGGACUCCUUGGAUUUACCUCUAGCUUUAAGGUCCUGCCUAUCUCUUCAAUAACAGCCAAUUGCACCUUCUAACCAAAAUAUCUCCAUAAAUUCAAAACACUAAUGGGUUGGCUACUGACAUGCACGAGGCCCACCAACAGACCUAGUAAAUUAUAAUGAAAACACUGGCCACGUUUCCCAUCUUUGCCACUGCACUAUACAUCUUUGCUUCUUUGACGA